CCUACGGGAGGCAGCAGUGAGGAAUAUUGGUCAAUGGACGAGCGUCUGAACCAGCCAAGUAGCGUGAAGGAUGACUGCCCUAUGGGUUGUAAACUUCUUUUAUAUGGGAAUAAAACAGGGUAUGCAUACCCUCUUGUAUGUACCAUAUGAAUAAGGAUCGGCUAACUCCGUGCCAGCAGCCGCGGUAAUACGGAGGAUCCGAGCGUUAUCCGGAUUUAUUGGGGUUAAAGGGAGCGUAGGUGGAUUGUUAAGUCAGUUGUGAAAGUUUGCGGCUCAACCGUAAAAUUGCAGUUGAAACUGGCAGUCUUGAGUACAUGAGAGGUAGGCGGAAUGCGUGGUGUAGCGGUGAAAUGCUUAGAUAUCACGAAGAACUCCGAUUGCGAAGGCAGCUCACUGGACUGCAACUGACACUGAUGCUCGAAAGUGUGGGUAUCGAACAGGAUUAGAUACCCCAGUAGUC
This 460-nucleotide ribosomal RNA is filed under the name uncultured bacterium. RNAcentral describes it as "partial 16S ribosomal RNA". It matches the Rfam family "Bacterial small subunit ribosomal RNA", at positions 338 to 795 of the family's 1533-position model. The record is from RNAcentral.